RNAcentral lists this transfer RNA (89 nucleotides) under Gracilaria tenuistipitata var. liui. RNAcentral's name for it is "tRNA-Ser". It matches the Rfam family "tRNA". Rfam says of the family: Transfer RNA (tRNA) molecules are approximately 80 nucleotides in length. The record is from RNAcentral. Lineage: Eukaryota; Rhodophyta; Florideophyceae; Gracilariales; Gracilariaceae.
GGAGAGGUGGUAGAGUUGGUUUAUUGCGUCUGAUUUGAAAUCAGAUGAACCAUUAGGUUCCGUGGGUUCGAAUCCCACCCUCUCCGUAC